Molecule: ribosomal RNA, 494 nt
Filed under: uncultured bacterium
Lineage: Bacteria
Description: bacterial SSU rRNA
Rfam family: Bacterial small subunit ribosomal RNA
Source: RNAcentral
AAAGGAAUAGACGGGGGCCCGCACAAGCGGUGGAGCAUGUGGAUUAAUUCGAAGCAACGCGAAGAACCUUACCAAGGCUUGACAUGGGAGCGCAAGCCCCGGAAACGGGGCCCCCCUUCGGGGCGCUCCACACAGGUGGUGCAUGGUUGUCGUCAGCUCGUGUCGUGAGAUGUUGGGUUAAGUCCCGCAACGAGCGCAACCCUUGCGUCCAGUUGCCAGCGGAUAAAGCCGGGCACACUGGAGGGACUGCCGUGGACAACACGGAGGAAGGCGGGGACGACGUCAAAUCAUCAUGCCCCUUAUGCCUUGGGCUUCACACGUGCUACAAUGGCCCAUACAACGCGACGCUAUGCGGCGACGCGGAGCGAAACGCCAAAAAGGGCCUCAGUUCGGAUUGCAGGCUGCAACCCGCCUGCAUGAAGCAGGAAUCGCUAGUAAUCGCGAAUCAGCAUGUCGCGGUGAAUACGUUCCCGGGCCUUGCACACACCGCCCGU